UCCUCUAACAAUUGAAUGGCU
Molecule: non-coding RNA, 21 nt
Filed under: Caenorhabditis elegans
Lineage: Eukaryota; Metazoa; Nematoda; Chromadorea; Rhabditida; Rhabditidae
Source: RNAcentral